CGGGGUGCAGCAGGCGCGAAAACUCUACAAUGCAGGCAACUGCGAUAGGGGGACAUCGAGUGGCAUCCACCUUGGGUGCCUGUCCAACCGUCUAAAAAACGGUUGUUAGCAAGGGCCGGGUAAGACCGGUGCCAGCCGCCGCGGUAAUACCGGCGGCUCGAGUGGUGGCCGAUAUUAUUGAGUCUAAAGGGUCCGUAGCCGGCUUUGCAAGUCCCCUGGGAAAUCCAGCGGCUUAACCGUUGGGCUUUCAUGGGAUACUACAUUGCUUGGGACUGGGAGAGGUAGGAGGUACUCGGGGGGUAGGGGUGAAAUCCUGUAAUCCUUCGGGGACCACCGGUGGCGAAGGCGUCCUACCAGAACAGGUCCGACGGUGAGGGACGAAAGCUAGGGGCACGAACCGGAUUAGAUACCCGGGUAGUCCUAGCCGUAAACGAUGCCCGCUAGGUGUCACGACGGUCGUGAAUCGUCGUGGUGCCGUAGGGAAGCCGCGAAGCGGGCCACUUGGGAAGUACGGCCGCAAGGCUGAAACUUAAAGGAAUUGGC
Molecule: ribosomal RNA, 543 nt
Filed under: uncultured archaeon
Lineage: Archaea
Description: bacterial SSU rRNA
Rfam family: Archaeal small subunit ribosomal RNA
Source: RNAcentral